GCGAGGGAGGAGUGCUAGUGGGACAGGCCGGACUCGGCCACCCACACUAGCUGUUGUUGAGGAGGAGGACGACCUGGCAGCUCCUCCAGAGGGGGCUGAGGCUCAGGAGGGUGUAGAGCCAGCUCCAGCACCUCGUAGACCUCGAGCUCGGCGCCAGCCUGUUGAGGGGGAAGUCUUGGAUGCCACUGGCAGAGUCCGAGUCAUCCCCAACGCACAGAGGAACAGGUUGCUCGAUACCAGCACGGUAUCUAGAGAGUUGCGGGAAAUCUUCCAGAGUCGGUGGUGGGCAGUAGGCACCGCUUAGAGAUUUUUGCCUGAGGAAGCUGUUUCUUUUUACUUCGAGGAGUUUAAGAAAAAAUUCUUCUGGGAGGACGAAUUCGAGGAACGAGUCAUCCGAAGUACUUUCGAGAAGCAUGCUGCGAACCGGUAUUCUGACAGGCUGUCCACCUACAAGACUUCUCGUGAGAGAGACGUGUCUAUUACCGACGACUUGUGGGAGGCAUGGGAGAGAGUUUGGGACUCUGAUGAGGCGAAGAAGAAAUCGGCCCAGGCGCGGGCCAAUCGGAUGAGCGAGCCGGCCGGAGCUGGUACUGGACCGGUUCGACAUACUGGAGGCUCGAUGUCUGCUUUGAAGCAUAAGGCUGUUUUGGCUAAGGAGCUGGGGCGUGAGCCGACACAUGCUGAGGUGCACAAGCGGAUGCACACUCUGAAGGCUGACCCGACACGAUUCGUUGAC
Mercurialis annua (annual mercury) is the source of this 736-nucleotide long non-coding RNA. RefSeq lists it as uncharacterized. The transcript has 4 exons. Lineage: Eukaryota; Viridiplantae; Streptophyta; Magnoliopsida; Malpighiales; Euphorbiaceae. The record is from RefSeq and is a predicted model, not a curated record.